GAUGAACGCUGGCGGCGUGCUUAACACAUGCAAGUCGAACGGAAAGGCCCAAGCUUGCUUGGGUACUCGAGUGGCGAACGGGUGAGUAACACGUGGGUGAUCUGCCCUGCACUUCGGGAUAAGCCUGGGAAACUGGGUCUAAUACCGGAUAGGACCACAUUUUGGAUGGUGUGGUGGAAAGUUUUUCGGUGUGGGAUGAGCUCGCGGCCUAUCAGCUUGUUGGUGGGGUAAUGGCCUACCAAGGCGUCGACGGGUAGCCGGCCUGAGAGGGUGUACGGCCACAGUGGGACUGAGAUACGGCCCAGACUCCUACGGGAGGCAGCAGUGGGGAAUAUUGCACAAUGGGCGCAAGCCUGAUGCAGCGACGCCGCGUGGGGGAUGACGGACUUCGGGUUGUAAACUCCGUUCGCUAGGGACGAAGCGUUAUGUGACGGUACCUGGAGAAGAAGCACCGGCUAACUACGUG
This 466-nucleotide ribosomal RNA is filed under the name uncultured bacterium. Its description in RNAcentral is "partial 16S ribosomal RNA". It matches the Rfam family "Bacterial small subunit ribosomal RNA", at positions 28 to 507 of the family's 1533-position model. The record is from RNAcentral.